GCACCUUUGCAGAGUGAUUGGUGAAAUCAGCGUUAGUGACUGACGCCGCUGCGGCCCGGCCCAGCUGGCCCUUGUUGGAGUUUGGGGGCUGCGCCUGAGGGACAGGGAGCGGGCCCCGCUUCCCGCGCUUUUCGCGGUCCCGUGCUGCUCCCUGGCGGCCGGCGCUGAGGGAAUUGCAGGAAUUCUGAGGCGUCAUUCCUCUGCUAUACCGUCCUGCUAAAGGCCUUACGCGUUCUCCAGGAGGGGUCCGCACAAAGCAGCCCCCUACCCGUACGGGAGUCGGAAGUGCCUCUUCCCCGUGAAUUGCCGCUGUCCCUGCCCUGAGGAAGCCCCCAGAAAUGUCGCCAUGGCCGUCCCCUCGUCCUUGCCCGUGUGCCCGCUGUGCCGGCCCGCCCUGCCGCAAAGGCGCGUUCCUCACUCGAUCCCCUUGGCAGUGGCUCCAGGCAGGAAUCUCGGGCUGUCUUUCCACAGUUCCUGGACAGUUUCCUUCUGGGAUUAAACAAAUCCCCGCACUGUUUCCCGAACGAGCAACUGCCUGAAGCAAGGUAUAUAAUCCUGCAUCACCUGAGCUUUUGGCAUUGGUUGGAUAUGUCAGAGAAAAAGCUUGAAACUCCUGAAAACCAGGGAGACACAAUUGUCAUCACAUCUGAAAUUUUAAUUGUCAUCAAUUGAUCAUCUGAAAUGGACAGCCUGAGAGAGACAAGGGCAGGUCCAGCAGGGAGCUUGGCAACCGUGAAGAUGGUGAUGAUCCUACAUGUUAUCUGUUCCCUUGCAUGUUAUCUGCUCCUCCCCAGCAGAUUGCACCCAGCAAGUCCCUGAGAUGCCUUUUUCCAUUCCCUCAUUAAGGAUAACGUGCUGGAUUUGACAUGCAUCUGGAAAAAGCAUUGGUUCUCCAGGCUGUAUGCAUUGCAGGCCCAAGAAGAGGCAAGGCAAAAGCAAUAUCUUUGCACUCACCCUCUGUGUAAUGGCAGCCAUUGUCACCCAGCUGUAGAAAAAUGUCCCCUUCCUUAAAUUUUGCUUGCCAGAUCAGACAUUUCUCCUACUUUCCACUUAACACAUCUCUAGCUGUAUUCUGUUGAAUCAGCAAUGUUUCCUUUGUUUAAAAGAAAUUUGUCUAUCCUAUAAUAAAACAUUCCUCAUUGCUUUUCCUUCUUCUGUUUAGCUGAAAUGUGCAGCCUUGCUCUGCAAGCAUGGAUUCAGGGAUUUCUAAAAGCUAAAGGUCAGCCUGAAAUCUCACAGCAUACUUACUGUACAAAAGCCAAGCAAGGAAAUGUUCAAGGAGUCUUUGGAGAGCAUUAUCCUAAAAUAUAAACUUAGAGUCAUGGCAAUCCCAUGUGCCUUGUGGACAGUAUUUUUUUUUUUUUAACAAAGGAUGUUAUUAAUAUGAAUUUUCUCAUAUC
Zonotrichia leucophrys gambelii is the source of this 1400-nucleotide long non-coding RNA. RefSeq lists it as uncharacterized. The transcript has 3 exons. Lineage: Eukaryota; Metazoa; Chordata; Aves; Passeriformes; Passerellidae. The record is from RefSeq and is a predicted model, not a curated record.